AUCCUCAUGGAUACCAGUUGGGUUCUUAACCCACUGAGCCACAGUGGGAACUCCACGGACUGGGAAAUCUUGAGGAACAGGCGAGAGUCCAUCAGAACCCGCCAACUGGUGGGCAGCAGGCUGCCGAGCCUCAGCAACGGGCACCAGAUGUGACCUCUCCACACCUGCUUCCUCAGAGGGACUCCCCUUCCUCGUGGCUUCCUCAGCUUGGGGACACUUUAGCUCAGCUCUGGGAGCCCCAACUGGUUCGGCCAGUCUCUGACGCUCCCUGCCUGCAGGGCCCCCAGGCAGCAGCUCCUCAACCUCAAGGGCCAAAUCUGUUCCCGCCCCGGGGGAGGAAGGAAGGGCCCAGGUUACUAGCGGGCUUUCAGGUGGGCUGGGGUUGGAGACCUGGGAGGGAAAUUCACUGAGAAGCAUGUUGAAAUCUGACUCUAGAAUGUUCUAAACAUUCUAAAGCUUCCCAGGGGCUGCCCAUAGCAGCAGAGGACAAAGGAAGGCCAUUGAGAGUCUAGUGGGGGGAGUUCCUGUUGUGGCUCAGUGGAAAUGAACCUGACUAGUGUCCAUGAAGAUGUAGGUUCGAUCCCUGGCCCUGCUCAGUGGGUUAGGGAUCCCGAGUGGCUGUGGCUGUGGUGUAGGCCGACAGCUGCAGCUCCAAUUCAACCCCUAGCCCGGGAACAUUCAUACACCACAGGUAUAACUAUAAAAAAGCAAAAAAAAAAAAAAAAAAAAUCUAGUGGGAUGGUAGCUGGGGCCUGGGGGUGGGAACGCAUAAAACUGGGCUGAUGUAUUCUGUAUUUCACAUUGGCAGGCCUCCCAUACUGUGUAUGCCUCUAAGUCAGGGGCCUUCUUUCAUGAUUUCAAGGACACUUGGAGACCGGUUCCGCAUAUGAGUGGAAUUUAUGAAUUGUAUUUCAGUCCAUUAACCUUUUUCAACCUUUCAGGGUCAUCUUGCUUAUAUUCUUCUUCUGGAGAAGACGAGCCAUUCCAAAUAAAUUUUGAUUAAUGGCAACCAUGAGCCAAAGAAAGCAGAUGUCUUUUGUAAACAUGCUCAGGAGUUAUUUUGUCUCCUGAGCAGUCAUCUCCUGCGGGAAUGCGUUCCGAAGGAUGCUGUUUGGCGGCAAUUAGACAGUUGGGGAAGCCCAUGUAAUUGAAGGGGAAAGUGCCUUUGCUGUUCCUUCUUAAAAGGUGUCCAAUGUCUCUUUUUAGCCUGAAGAUGACAAGUUCCAAAGUUCAGGUAAAUGAGAGUUCCCUUAGCCUGGGCAGUGCCCACGCAAAGGGCCUCCUGCCCUGGUUUCCCGAAAAGGAAAGAUUUGCUGGAGGAACAGCAAGGUCACAGCGACACACCCCAGCAGUGGCGCCUCCCCGCACACCAGCUUCCUGUCCCUUUGGUGGUAGAUCUGCUCCUGCUGUAGGAACCGUCACAUCAUCCGCCUUGAGGCUGCAGCAGGAGAGCGCGGGACGCACCUGUCCAGACGUAUAAUUAGCCCAGCCCACCGGCCUCCUCGAACUUCUGUAACCACAACUCCUCGAGCAUACGUCGGGCAGCAGAAAAUCAUUGUAAGCACAGCUCAGCGGAGCUAUUUCACAAACUCUAGAGGAGAACCGCUUAAAGCGAAGCCCAGCGUUCACGGUGGACCAGCAAAUGCAGAGCAAACCAGAACAGCUGGCAGCAGGGACCAUUGUCGGGCGGAGCCGCCUGUAAUGGGCUGUUUCUCUUCUGCCAUAAGGAAGAGUGAUGCUUCCAGGAGAGCGUCUGCCGGUCUGGAGCCUGGGGGACCCUGGCUCGUUUUGCUGUAACUGUAAACGGGCAUGCUGAGAAGCCUUGUUUAAAGGGACCAGAAAAAUGUAUUCUAAAAUCAAAGGGCCUCCUGCUGGCUGCUCCCCUGGCUCAUGACAAAGACAAGACGGGAAGGACCAGGGAAACACAUAUGCCAUUAGCUGGGAGGGAUGGAUGACAGCAUGAGCCUCAGAGCCUCUGGAAGACCCCAGUGGACAGCUGGAAAAGCGUGAAAAGGGCAAACGAAUCUCAGCAUUGUCACAGAAACACCUUUGACCUCACGUGGAGACCUUGAACAGGUCCCAGGACCCUCAGGGGUCCCUGGACCACACCUUGAGGACCACUGAUACGGAGAAAUGAAAACGGCUCCUGGGUCCCAGCUGAACACCACUGAAGCACUGAAUUCUACACUCGGAGGGACGCUCAGGGCUGACUAGGGGAUUAUAAUGGAGGCGGAUUAAGUCAGUCAUCCAGAUGGGCCCUCUGGAAGGUGGAAGAAGAACAGGGUCACAGACCCAGGACGACUUCUGAAAGCCCAGAUGCUUAACUGCAAAACCCGAGUACAUCCCAUAAACACCACUGUGCCUUCAAGGGCCCUCCAAGGGCCUUUGGGAAAAGGCUCAGCCAUGUAGCCCCCUGUCAUCCUCCAGCCUCUCUCAUCAAGUCCAAUCAAUGUCCCGUAAGCGAAUAUCAUUACGAGCUUGGUGUGGUGGGAAGAAGAUUCUUCCCUUCCUCCCUUCGAGGUUCUUUGAUUAAAUUGGUCUAAUGAUAGUUAAAUUGACCUGUCUAAUAUUUAAAUUGAUAUAAGGCAGAUUAACAGGAGAAAAACAAAUUUAAGGACCUACAAAAGGGAGGCCAAAGACAGGAGCCUUGGGGCAAGCUGGACAUAGCAGCCUCUGUGCCAUCCUGAGCCGAGGGUUGGGAGGGGUCUGGAGUUGAAGGGCAGGAGGUGACUCACAGGACCUGAGGACAGCAGGUGUUUGGUCCUUAGGUGUGUGCCCUGCCCCACAUGGUCACUCAGAUGACAAGACAAUCCUGGCAAGAGCUCUCUUUCUGGCCGGCCCUCCCCCCCCUGAAUCUUUCAGAGAGUUAAGGGGAAAGGAAAGAGUUCUCUUCCAUCUGUUGGCUCUUGAUACUCUUCAGCUCAAAACAAUCCACCUGCCAAAGCGGCACAUUUUGGGGUGGCCUCUUCUGCUCCCUUUCAGGGUUGUAUUCAGUCCAGUGGAGGAUGCAAAAAAUAAUAUGUGAGCACAGAAAAAUUACAUGAGGCGUUCCCAUCAUGGCUCAGCAGGUUAAGAACUUGACAUAGCGUCCUUCGGG
Non-coding RNA from Sus scrofa (pig), 3097 nucleotides. NCBI's taxonomy places the organism in Eukaryota, Metazoa, Chordata, Mammalia, Artiodactyla, Suidae. The record is from RefSeq and is a predicted model, not a curated record.